RNAcentral lists this unclassified non-coding RNA (314 nucleotides) under plant metagenome. RNAcentral's name for it is "partial contains 5.8S ribosomal RNA, internal transcribed spacer 2, and large subunit ribosomal RNA". The stretch from base 1 to 103 matches the Rfam family "5.8S ribosomal RNA", at positions 51 to 154 of the family's 154-position model. The record is from RNAcentral.
AAAUGCGAUAACUAGUGUGAAUUGCAGAAUUCCGUGAAUCAUCGAGUCUUUGAACGCACAUUGCGCCCCCUGGUAUUCCGGGGGCAUGCCUGUCCGAGCGUCAUUGCUGCCCAUCAAGCACGGCUUGUGUGUUGGGUCGUCGUCCCCUCUCCGGGGGGGACGGGCCCCAAAGGCAGCGGCGGCACCGCGUCCGAUCCUCGAGCGUAUGGGGCUUUGUCACCCGCUCUGUAGGCCCGGCCGGCGCUUGCCGAACGCAAAUCAAUCUUUUUCCAGGUUGACCUCGGAUCAGGUAGGGAUACCCGCUGAACUUAAGC